GGGGAAUAUUGGGCAAUGGACGCAAAUCUGACCCAGCAACGCCGCGUGAAGGAAGAAGGCUUUCGGGUUGUAAACUUCUUUUAAGGGGGAAGAGCAGAAGACGGUACCCCUUGAAUCAGCCACGGCUAACUACGUGCCAGCAGCCGCGGUAAUACGUAGGUGGCAAGCGUUGUCCGGAUUUACUGGGUGUAAAGGGCGUGCAGCCGGGAAGGCAAGUCAGAUGUGAAAUCUGGAGGCUCAACCUCCAAACUGCAUUUGAAACUGCUUUUCUUGAGUAUCGGAGAGGUAAUCGGAAUUCCUUGUGUAGCGGUGAAAUGCGUAGAUAUAAGGAAGAACACCAGUGGCGAAGGCGGAUUACUGGACGACAACUGACGGUGAGGCGCGAAAGCGUGGGGAACAAACA
This 403-nucleotide ribosomal RNA is filed under the name uncultured Oscillibacter sp. RNAcentral describes it as "bacterial SSU rRNA". It matches the Rfam family "Bacterial small subunit ribosomal RNA", at positions 356 to 774 of the family's 1533-position model. The record is from RNAcentral. Lineage: Bacteria; Bacillati; Bacillota; Clostridia; Eubacteriales; Oscillospiraceae.